Molecule: small nuclear RNA, 195 nt
Rfam family: U2 spliceosomal RNA
About the family: U2 is a small nuclear RNA (snRNA) component of the spliceosome (involved in pre-mRNA splicing). Complementary binding between U2 snRNA (in an area lying towards the 5' end but 3' to hairpin I) and the branchpoint sequence (BPS) of the intron results the bulging out of an unpaired adenosine, on the BPS, which initiates a nucleophilic attack at the intronic 5' splice site, thus starting the first of two transesterification reactions that mediate splicing.
Source: Rfam
UCAGCUCUCUUUGCCUUUUGGCUUAGAUCAAGUGUAGUAUCUGUUCUUUUCAGUUUAAUCUCUGAAACUGCUCUACGGAGCAGAAUCGUGAUUAUACUAAUUUUUGGCCCUCGGCGGACUUCCCUCUGGGCUUGCCCAUGGUCGUCUGCCACAGUGUCCCUGGUAUUACACUGCCUCCAGGCGACGCGACUUUGC